RNAcentral lists this ribosomal RNA (253 nucleotides) under uncultured bacterium. Its description in RNAcentral is "partial 16S ribosomal RNA". It matches the Rfam family "Bacterial small subunit ribosomal RNA", at positions 524 to 776 of the family's 1533-position model. The record is from RNAcentral.
UACGUAGGGUGUGAGCGUUGUCCGGAAUUAUUGGGCGUAAAGAGCUCGUAGGCGGCCUGUCGCGUCGGAUGUGAAAGCCCGGGGCUUAACCCCGGGUCUGCAUUCGAUACGGGCAGGCUAGAGUGUGGUAGGGGAGAUCGGAAUUCCUGGUGUAGCGGUGAAAUGCGCAGAUAUCAGGAGGAACACCGGUGGCGAAGGCGGAUCUCUGGGCCAUUACUGACGCUGAGGAGCGAAAGCGUGGGGAGCGAACAGG